Molecule: non-coding RNA, 23 nt
Filed under: Cricetulus griseus (Chinese hamster)
Lineage: Eukaryota; Metazoa; Chordata; Mammalia; Rodentia; Cricetidae
Source: RNAcentral
UAAACAAGGGAAAAGUGGAAAGG